This 699-nucleotide ribosomal RNA is filed under the name uncultured bacterium. RNAcentral's name for it is "bacterial SSU rRNA". It matches the Rfam family "Bacterial small subunit ribosomal RNA", at positions 1 to 702 of the family's 1533-position model. The record is from RNAcentral.
AGGAGUUUGAUCCUGGCUCAGGAUGAACGCUAGCGGCAGGCCUAACACAUGCAAGUCGAGGGGCAGCAUUACUUUUCGGAGUAGAUGGCGACCGGCGCACGGGUGCGUAACGCGUAUGCAACCUACCUUUUACAGAGGGAUAGCCCGGAGAAAUCCGGAUUAAUACCUUAUGGCACUAUGGAGUGGCAUCACUUUAUAGUUAAAGAUUUAUUGGUAAAAAAUGGGCAUGCGUGACAUUAGUUAGUUGGUGAGGUAACGGCUCACCAAGACGACGAUGUCUAGGGGUUCUGAGAGGAUGAUCCCCCACACUGGUACUGAGACACGGACCAGACUCCUACGGGAGGCAGCAGUGAGGAAUAUUGGUCAAUGGGCGAGAGCCUGAACCAGCCAUGCCGCGUGCAGGAAGACGGCCUUCUGGGUUGUAAACUGCUUUUAUACGGGAGCAAAACGUCCCUGCGGGGAAGAUUGAGAGUAUCGUAUGAAUAAGCACCGGCUAACUCCGUGCCAGCAGCCGCGGUAAUACGGAGGGUGCAAGCGUUGUCCGGAUUUAUUGGGUUUAAAGGGUGCGUAGGCGGCGUAAUAAGUCAGUGGUGAAAGCCGGCAGCUCAACUGUCGAGGUGCCAUUGAAACUGUUAUGCUUGAGUACAGACGAGGUAGGCGGAAUUUAUGAUGUAGCGGUGAAAUGCAUAGAUAUCAUAA